GCGGCAGUGUAGUGCAGUGGUAAGGAGCAGGGCUUAUGAUCCAGAGGUUGCUGGUUCGAUUCCCAUCUGGGGCA
Molecule: non-coding RNA, 74 nt
Organism: Megalops atlanticus (tarpon)
Lineage: Eukaryota; Metazoa; Chordata; Actinopteri; Elopiformes; Megalopidae
Source: the annotation of a GenBank genome assembly